GAUGAACGCUAGCGGGAGGCCUAACACAUGCAAGCCGAGCGGUAGAGUUUCUUCGGAAACUUGAGAGCGGCGCACGGGUGCGUAACACGUGUGCAACCUACCUUUAUCUGGGGGAUAGCCUUUCGAAAGGUAGAUUAAUACCCCAUAAUAUAAUGAUUGGCAUCAAUUAUUAUUGAAAACUCCGGUGGAUAGAGAUGGGCACGCGCAAGAUUAGAUAGUUGGUGAGGUAACGGCUCACCAAGUCAAUGAUCUUUAGGGGUCCUGAGAGGGAGAUCCCCCACACUGGUACUGAGACACGGACCAGACUCCUACGGGAGGCAGCAGUGAGGAAUAUUGGACAAUGGGUGAGAGCCUGAUCCAGCCAUCCCGCGUGAAGGAUGACGGUCCUAUGGAUUGUAAACUUCUUUUGUACAGGGAUAAACCUACCCUCGUGAGGGUAGCUGAAGGUACUGUACGAAUAAGCACCGGCUAACUCCGUG
Molecule: ribosomal RNA, 479 nt
Filed under: uncultured bacterium
Lineage: Bacteria
Description: partial 16S ribosomal RNA
Rfam family: Bacterial small subunit ribosomal RNA
Source: RNAcentral